AGGGUUCGAUCAUGGCUCAGGACGAACGCUGGCGGCGCGCCUAACACAUGCAAGUCGAACGAGAGACGAGGAGCUUGCUCUUCUGAUCGAGUGGCGAACGGGUGAGUAACGCGUGAGGAACCUGCCUCAAAGAGGGGGACAACAGUUGGAAACGACUGCUAAUACCGCAUAAGCCCACGGCUCGGCAUCGAGCAGAGGGAAAAGGAGUGAUCCGCUUUGAGAUGGCCUCGCGUCCGAUUAGCUAGUUGGUGAGGUAAUGGCCCACCAAGGCGACGAUCGGUAGCCGGACUGAGAGGUUGAACGGCCACAUUGGGACUGAGACACGGCCCAG
RNAcentral lists this ribosomal RNA (331 nucleotides) under uncultured bacterium. RNAcentral's name for it is "bacterial SSU rRNA". It matches the Rfam family "Bacterial small subunit ribosomal RNA", at positions 8 to 334 of the family's 1533-position model. The record is from RNAcentral.